Mugil cephalus (flathead mullet) is the source of this 3557-nucleotide long non-coding RNA. RefSeq lists it as uncharacterized. The record is from RefSeq and is a predicted model, not a curated record. The transcript is spliced from 8 exons. NCBI's taxonomy places the organism in Eukaryota, Metazoa, Chordata, Actinopteri, Mugiliformes, Mugilidae.
CUUGGUACAGUCCGGCUCCCCCUUCUAUAAAUCUAAUUGGAUUGUACCACUUCCUGUUUGCCAGUCGGGCCUUCUACCUGGGCAGGUGUGGAUGGACAACAUGGAACAAACAUUUGGGGACGACUGGAGAGAUAUGUCUUGGCCUGCUCGAAAAGAUGAGGAAAUACAGCUGCUGCCGGUUCCAUAAAUCCAAAGGGUCAUGUCGCCUGGACAGAACAUCUGGAGUGGACGCUGCCACGAUGGUUUCAAGACUUCACCUGAAGAACAGGAACUUCCCAAUAACACCCUGUAGAACAUCAGGAGGCCAUGAUUUCCAAGACUUCACCAGAAGAAGAGGAACUUGGCCCCAAAGAACAUCAGGAGGAGACACGGCCAUGAUGGUUUCUCAGACUUCACAUGAAGAACAGGAACUUCUACCGUAUCGUAUAAUAUAUUAUCGUUUAAAACUUUUGUAAUUUAUAACUCCUGCUACUAGUGGACAUUUAUUUUAUGGCAUAUUGUUUGACUAUUUCAUAAUUGUAGACUAACAUGUUUUGUUCUAAUCUCUCCAGGAGGAGACGCAGCCAUGAUGGUUUCCAGGACUUCACGUGAAGAGGAGGAUCUUCGCGCUACAGAACAUCAGGAGGAGACACAGCCAUGAUAAUUUUAUCAGACUUCACCUGAAGAACAGGGACUUCUCAAGAACACCCUGAAGGAGGAGAUGGUUUCCAGGACUUCACGUGAAGAGGAGGAUCUUCGCGCUACAGAAACCACGGGGAGGACACGGCCCCCCCCGCGCCUGCUACCACAGGACUCCUCGGAUGAUCCAGGCUCCGACAACGAGUGGGAUUCGAACCAAUCUCCUGCGACUUCCAGUCGCGGUUGAACCACCACACGCCACCGAGAACCCUUCACACUCAACUCUCUUCUCGGUGCGCUUUUGUCAUUGUCACUUUGGAAUCUGGACUUCAAAAGUAACUGUCAUAAGAUUUGAACCCAUGACUGUAGACCCAUCAAACACACUUCUAACAGCCUGAGCUAUUUGUCGUGGAGUUCUGUUUCUUUCUUAGAUUCUUUCAGUCUUUAGUUUGAGUAGAGGACUUCAAAAGUCACAGACUUUCAUAAGAUUUGAACCCAUGACUUUAGACCUACCAAACACUCUUCUAACAGCCUGAGCUAUUUGUCGUGGAGUUCUGGUUCUUUCUUAGAGUCUUUCAGUCUUAAGUGUGAGUAGCGGACUUCAAAAGUCACAGACUUUCAUAAGAUUUGAACCUAUGUCUUAAGCUUUACUAAACACUCUUCAAACAGCCUGAGCUAUUUGUCCUAGUGUUCUGGUUCUUUCUUAGAGUCUUUCAGUGUUUAGUUUGUGUAGAAGAAUUCAAAAGUCAUUCACUGUCAUAAGAUUUGAACCUAUGUUGUAUGCCUCAUCAGACACUCUUCUAACAGCCUGAGCUAUUUGUUGUGGUGUUCUGUUUCUUUCUUAGAUUCUUUCAGUCUUUAGUUUGAUUGAAAUACUUUAAAAGUCAUUGGCUGUCAUAAGAUUCGAACCCAUGACUUUAGACCUACCAAACACUCUUCUCUUCUAACAGCCUGAGCUAUUUGUCGUGGAGUUCUGUUUCUUUCUUAGAGUCUUUCAGUCUUAAGUGUGAGUAGAGGACUUCAAAAGUCACAGACUUUCAUAAGAUUUGAACCUAUGUCUUAAGCCUCACCAAACACUCUUCAAACAGCCUGAGCUAUUUGUCCUGGUAUUCUGUAUCUUUCUUAGAUUCUUUCAGUCUUUAGCUUGAUUAGCAUAUUUAAAAAGUCAUUGACUGUCAUAAGAUCUGAACUCAUGACUUUAGUCCCAUCAAACACUCUCCUCUUCUAACAGCCUGAGCUAUUUGUUGUGGAUUUUUGGUUCUUUCUUAGAGUCUUUCAAUCUUUAGUUUGUGUAGAAGAAUUCAAAAGUCAUUGGCUGUCAUAACAUUUGAACCUUUGUCUUUAGGCACGUCAAACACUCUUCUAACAGCCUGAGCUAUCUGACCACUCAUGUUCUCAUGCUUUCCUAGAGCUUUUCUGUUUGUUUGCUUCAUUGGUUGAUUAACUAUAAAAGAUCCUACCAGGCUUGAACCUAUGUCACCAGAACACUUAUGAGCAGACCUGACAUGUUAGGCUACGAGAGAAAAGCUGUUUGGUUCAGAUUAUUUGAAGUUUUUCAGUUUUUCCUCUGGGAAUUGAACAUAAAAACAUUGAAACUCUCCAACAACCUGCUAAUCCUUUGAGGAUGACUCUAACCACUUGAGCCACUAAGCCAGAGGCCACAACCCACAUAUUUUUACACCUUUUCAGUCUUUCAUGUUGGUAUUACCAUGUAAAAUGGAUUUCUACAUCCAGGGCUUGAACCCAAACCUUCUUAAACUCUGAGGAAAGACUUAACAUCCUGAGCCACAGCUCCAGACACAUUGACCAUCUCAUUUUUAAAGCAUUUCAGUCUUUCCUCUGUCACUUAGAGAAUAAAAUGUAGAAAGCAGAGCUCUGGAUUUGAUCUGUUGGUUUCAGGUUGUGACUCAGAACCACAGCUGAUCUCACUGAGCUACUCGCAAACACAGACGUGCAGCUUUUGUUGUUGUGUUCAUUGUUCACUUCCCUCAGAAGCAAGAACAGAAAAACCACAGUAGCCUAGAGAUGAACCGAUGACCUAAUGGAUUUAGCCGGGAUAUGUUGGUUAUCCUGGAUUAACUUAACCAUGAUCUGGUUGCUCCAAAACAUGGAGAUUUAUUCCGUGGAGCUUGGCUGCUCCAGACCAGGUUAACAUCCAGGAUCUAUUUAAUCUCAGUCACCACAAAUGGAAACCAAUAUUUAUUCCACUGCCCACUACACAUUAUUAUCACAUUCAACUAGACCCACUGUCACUAUUUAAACAUCUGUCAUCAUCAUUAAGUGGCAUCAUUUUAGAUGAUUUUGAAAUUAGUAGAUAGUUUAGUUUCCCAUAGACUAUAUAAAAUACACAUCCCAUAGAAAUAUAAAUACACGUCAAAGAGUAACAAGAUGUUCCUUUAUUGAAUAAGGACAAAUCAAAGCAAGUUAACUGAAGUCACACAGUGCUCCACAAGAUAGAAAGAACAGAAUCAAACCAUAUUAUACAAAUCACAAAUAAAUGCAGGACAAAUCCAUAUUUAAAUGAGGCCUGUAUUCAGUAUACAGCACUAUACGCCAAAUACUAUAAAAUAAUACAAAUUUCUUUCCAGGCCCUGUUUAACGUAACUCUAAAACAUGUGUCUAUGCCAUUGCACGCUAUAUUCAGCUUAAAUGUACAGAAUGCAUUUUAACUAAAAUAAUUUAAAACGUAAAAGCCGUGCACUGUCCUCAUCCGUGAAGAUGGUGGAUUGUCCCUGUCCACGAUGAUGUCUGAUGUUCUGAUGUCACUCUGUGGGCCCCCUCCCUCCUCAGGCAGGACACAUAGUGGAGGACAGCACAGACCACAGUAAUGUCACAUGUCCUGUCUGGACUGACCUAAGAUGGUGGAGACAUUGGAAGUGUUCCUUCAGGAGGCCAAAGAUCAUCUCCAUCCAGCCCUUGUCCUGGUGGGGACAUUAUUA